AAUAGAUACCCGGGUAGUCCACGCCGUAAACGAUGAGUGCUAGGUGUUGGGGGGACCCCCCUCAGUGCCGCAGGUAACCCAAUAAGCACUCCGCCUGGGGAGUACGGUCGCAAGACUGAAACUCAAAGGAAUUGACGGGGGCCCGCACAAGCGGUGGAGCAUGUGGUUUAAUUCGAAGCAACGCGAAGAACCUUACCAGGGCUUGACAUCCUGCUGACCGGUGUAGAGAUAUGCCUUUCCCCUUCGGGGGACAGCGGUGACAGGUGGUGCAUGGUUGUCGUCAGCUCGUGUCGUGAGAUGUUGGGUUCAGUCCCGCAACGAGCGCAACCCUUGUUUCUAGUUGCCAGCACUUCGGGUGGGCACUCUAGAGAGACAGCCGGUGAAAGCCGGAGGAAGGUGGGGAUGACGUCAAAGUCAUCAUGCCCCUUAUGUCCUGGGCUACACACGUGCUACAAUGGCUGGGACAAUGGGCAGCCAAACCGCAAGGUGGAGCGAAUCCCANAAACCCGGUCUCAGUUCAGAUCGCGGGCUGCAACUCCCG
Molecule: ribosomal RNA, 541 nt
Filed under: uncultured bacterium
Lineage: Bacteria
Description: bacterial SSU rRNA
Rfam family: Bacterial small subunit ribosomal RNA
Source: RNAcentral